Molecule: ribosomal RNA, 253 nt
Filed under: uncultured bacterium
Lineage: Bacteria
Description: partial 16S ribosomal RNA
Rfam family: Bacterial small subunit ribosomal RNA
Source: RNAcentral
UACGGAGGGUGCAAGCGUUGCUCGGAAUUAUUGGGCGUAAAGGGUAGGUAGGUGGUCUCAUUUGUCUGGGGUGAAAGCCUUGAGCUUAACUCAAGAAGUGCCCCAGAGACGGUGAGACUGGAGUUCUGGAGAGGGUCGUGGAAUUCCCGGUGUAGCGGUGAAAUGCGCAGAUAUCGGGAAGAACACCCGUGGCGAAGGCGGCUCUCUGGGACGGUACUGACGCUGAGACGCGAAAGCGUGGGGAGCGAACAGG